GACAGCAGUCGCCGCGGGAAUACAGAGGGUGCGAGCGUUAAUCGGAUUUACUGGGCGUAAAGCGUGCGUAGGCGGCUUCUUAAGUCGGAUGUGAAAUCCCUGAGCUUAACUUAGGAAUUGCAUUCGAUACUGGGAAGCUAGAGUAUGGGAGAGGAUGGUAGAAUUCCAGGUGUAGCGGUGAAAUGCGUAGAGAUCUGGAGGAAUACCGAUGGCGAAGGCAGCCAUCUGGCCUAAUACUGACGCUGAGGUACGAAAGCAUGGGGAGCAAACAGGAUUAGAUACCCAGUAGUCCCUGUCUCUUAUACA
RNAcentral lists this ribosomal RNA (306 nucleotides) under uncultured bacterium. Its description in RNAcentral is "partial 16S ribosomal RNA". It matches the Rfam family "Bacterial small subunit ribosomal RNA", at positions 507 to 808 of the family's 1533-position model. The record is from RNAcentral.